GGACCCGACUGCUAUCAGAGUGGGACUAAGCCAUGCGAGUCAACAUAGCAAUAUGUGGCAUACGGCUCAGUAACACGUAGUCAACAUGCCCAGGGGACGUGGAUAACCUCGGGAAACCGAGGAUAAACCGCGAUAGGUCAUCACCUCUGGAAUGGGUAAUGACUUAAACCUAUAUGGCCCCUGGAUUGGACCGCGGCCGAUCAGGCUGUUGGUGAGGUAAUGGCCCACCAAACCUGUAACCGGUACGGGCUCUGAGAGGAGGAGCCCGGAGAUGGGCACUAAGACAAGGGCCCAGGCCCUAUGGGGCGCAGCAGGCGCGAAACCUCUGCAAUAGGCGAAAGCUUGACAGGGUUACUCUGAGUGAUUUCCGUUAAGGAGAUCUUUUGGCACCUCUAAAAAUGGUGCAGAAUAAGGGGUGGGCAAGUCUGGUGUCAGCCGCCGCGGUAAUACCAGCACCCCGAGUGGUCGGGACGUUUAUUGGGCCUAAAGCAUCCGUAGCCGGUUCUACAAGUCUUCCGUUAAAUCCACCUGCUUAACAGAUGGGCUGCGGAAGAUACUAUAGAGCUAGGAGGCGGGAGAGGCAAGCGGUACUCGAUGGGUAGGGGUAAAAUCCGUUGAUCCAUUGAAGACCACCAGUGGCGAAGGCGGCUUGCCAGAACGCGCUCGACGGUGAGGGAUGAAAGCUGGGGGAGCAAACCGGAUUAGAUACCCGGGUAGUCCCAGCUGUAAACGAUGCAGACUCGGUGAUGAGUUGGCUUAUUGCUAACUCAGUGCCGCAGGGAAGCCGUUAAGUUUGCCGCCUGGGGAGUACGGUCGCAAGACUGAAACUUAAAGGAAUUGGCGGGGGAGCACCACAAGGGGUGAAGCCUGCGGUUCAAUUGGAGUCAACGCCGGAAAUCUUACCGGGGGCGACAGCAGAGUGAAGGUCAAGCUGAAGACUUUACCAGACAAGCUGAGAGGAGGUGCAUGGCCGUCGCCAGCUCGUGCCGUGAGGUGUCCUGUUAAGUCAGGUAACGAGCGAGAC
Molecule: ribosomal RNA, 1024 nt
Filed under: uncultured archaeon
Lineage: Archaea
Description: bacterial SSU rRNA
Rfam family: Archaeal small subunit ribosomal RNA
Source: RNAcentral